GGCUAGCAGGUAAUAUGAUCACAUUCUCUCUAAUAGAAGAUACAACCAGAGAAUUGGUCGAAUUUUGACACUGGUUAAACCCUUGCUUCUAAAUAAGAAUGUAUUCAUGAGAAUUAAACUAUGGAACUAGGAUUAGAUACCCUACUACCACUAAAAGUAAACAGAAAAAUGCCUGGGGAUUACGAACUUUUACGUUUAAAACCUAAAGAGCUUGGCGGCUCCGCACAAGUCCAGGGGGGCCUGUCGCAUAAUCGAUAAUCCGCGUAAAUUUUUACCUUUCUUAGAAACUUCAGCUCGUAUACCCCCGUAGUGUUAACCUUAAAAAGAAGAAAAGUUAGCAAAAGAAAAUACCUUUAAUAGCUCAGGUCAAGGUGCGGCUUAUAGAAAGGAAGUUAGAUUUGCCACGUUUAUUUUAUAAUUGGAUUUUGUUCAAGAAAUGAACCUAAAAAACAGUACUUGGAAGUAAUUUUUGUUUAAAAAGCAAAAGUGAAAAUCUUACCUGCAGAGUGUACAAAUUGCCCGUCAAUCCUCCCGUUUUAGGAAGGAUAA
This 549-nucleotide ribosomal RNA is filed under the name Electra crustulenta. Its description in RNAcentral is "partial 12S ribosomal RNA". The record is from RNAcentral. Lineage: Eukaryota; Metazoa; Bryozoa; Gymnolaemata; Cheilostomatida; Electridae.